AACGAACGUUGGCGGCGUGGAUUAGGCAUGCAAGUCGAACGAAUCCCAGCCUUGUAGCAAUACCGGGCUGGGGGAAGUGGCGAAAGGGGCAGUAAGGCAUGGGUAACCUACCCUGGGGACGUGGAUAGCCAUUCUAACGAGUGGGUAAUACGCGGCGAUCUGGUUGAGGGGCAUCUCUUGGCCAGGAAAUGAAUUUCGCCUCGGGAGGGGCUCAUGUGAUAUUAGCUAGUUGGUGGGGUAACGGCCUACCAAGGCGAAGAUGUCUAGCGGGUGUGAGAGCACGACCCGCGCCACUGGCACUGAGACACUGGCCAGACACCUACGGGUGGCUGCAGUCGAGGAUCUUUGGCAAUGAGCGCAAGCUUGACCAAGCGACGCCGCGUGUGCGAUGAAGGCCUUCGGGUUGUAAAGCACUGUCGAGGGGGACGAAGCCGCAAGGUUGACCGAUCCCUGGAGGAAGCACGGGCUAAGUUCGUGC
This 478-nucleotide ribosomal RNA is filed under the name uncultured bacterium. RNAcentral describes it as "bacterial SSU rRNA". It matches the Rfam family "Bacterial small subunit ribosomal RNA", at positions 28 to 508 of the family's 1533-position model. The record is from RNAcentral.